This is a non-coding RNA of Potamilus streckersoni, 69 nucleotides long. The record is from the annotation of a GenBank genome assembly. Lineage: Eukaryota; Metazoa; Mollusca; Bivalvia; Unionida; Unionidae.
AGGUGGCCUAGUGGUUAGAGCGUCCGCCUCGGAUGCUGGAGGCUGUAGGUUCGAUUCCCGGUCGAAAUA